RNAcentral lists this ribosomal RNA (252 nucleotides) under uncultured prokaryote. Its description in RNAcentral is "partial 16S ribosomal RNA". It matches the Rfam family "Bacterial small subunit ribosomal RNA", at positions 524 to 776 of the family's 1533-position model. The record is from RNAcentral.
UACGUAGGGGGCAAGCGUUGUCCGGAAUGAUUGGGCGUAAAGGGCGCGUAGGCGGCUCGGUAAGUUUGGAGUGAAAGUCCUGGCUUUAAGUUGGGAAUUGCUUUGAAAACUGUCGGGCUUGAGUGCAGGAGAGGUUAGUGGAAUUCCCAGUGUAGCGGUGAAUGCGUAGAGAUUGGGAGGAACACCAGUGGCGAAGGCGACUAACUGGACUGUAACUGACGCUGAGGCGCGAAAGUGUGGGGAGCAAACAGG